CUUACAUCACAGAAACAUCUUGUUUCUGAUAAUAAAACAAAAUAAAACAAAACAAAACCAAUGCACUCAGACAGGCAAAAGCUCUAGGAGAUGAAUUGGUUGCGGGUCUGGUGAGUGAUGAGGAGAUCUUCGCCAAUAAAGGCCCGUCUAUUUUGUCCAUGGAGGAGAGGUACUAAUAUUUGGUCCUUUUCUGUUUUGCUCCUAGUGAUUUUCUCCUAGACAAAAUCUAAUUUAGCUUAAACAUAAGACUAGAGACUUUGCAACAAGGGAAUAAACUUGUUUGUUUGAAUAACUCAAGUGUGCCAACAUUGUAAAAGAAUUAAUGUUGAGAAUGUAUUUUGUCUUCCAGGCUGACCCUUGUUAUUGAAUUGAAAUGGGUGGACGAAGUCAUAACCGAUGCUCCUUAUGCAAUUACUGAGGAAUUCUUGAAUCAUCUUUUCUAUGAAUACAACAUUGACUAUGUCAUACAUGGAGAUGACCCUUGCCUGCUUCCAGAUGGAACAGAUGCUUAUGCUGCAGUAAAGAAAGCUGGCUGAUACAAGCAAAUUAAACGUACUGAAGGAGUUUCCAGCACAGAUGAUGUUGGAAGAAUUAUGUCUUCGUUAAAAGAUCAAAAAGCUCGCGAAGAUCUUAAUGGUACUGAUGCAAAACCUUAAGAAGAAAGCAAGCCAAAGGUUUCCCACUGGUCCCAAUUCCUACCAACUUCCUGACAUAUUGUACAGUUUUCAAAUGACAAGGUAUUUUGAUUAUCAAUGCUUAUAUAUCUUGACUUGCUGAGACAGACACUGAUUUGAAAUUUAUGCCACAUUCAUUGGUUUCAAGAUGAAAAUAUUUUGAGCGAAUUUGCUCAUUAGUUUUUGGAAAUAUUUUGCAUGAUAAUUCAUUGUGGCUUCAUCCUCUUUUAGGGGCCUGGACCUGAUGCUCGUAUUGUAUACAUUGAUGGGGCAUUUGAUCUCUUCCAUGCUGGGCACGUUGAGAUACUUAAGAAGGCUAGGCAGCUCGGAGAUUUUCUUCUUGUUGGUAUCUGAUGAGCGGAUA
This is a non-coding RNA of Arachis ipaensis, 1038 nucleotides long. The record is from RefSeq and is a predicted model, not a curated record. Lineage: Eukaryota; Viridiplantae; Streptophyta; Magnoliopsida; Fabales; Fabaceae.